GGAAUCUUGGACAAUGGGCGCAAGCCUGAUCCAGCCAUUCCGCGUGCAGGAUGAAUGCCUUCGGGUUGUAAACUGCUUUUGUACGGAACGAAACGGCCUUUUCUAAUACAAGAGGCUAAUGACGGUAACGUAAGAAUAAGCACCGGCAAACUACGUGCCAGCAGCCGCGGUAAUACGUAGGGUGCAAGCGUUAAUCGGAAUUACUGGGCGUAAAGCGUGCGCAGGCGGUUAUGUAAGACAGUUGUGAAAUCCCCGGGCUCAACCUGGGAACUGCAUCUGUGACUGCAUAGCUAGAGUACGGCAGAGGGGGAUGGAAUUCCGCGUGUAGCAGUGAAAUGCGUAGAUAUGCGGAGGAACACCGAUGGCGAAGGCAAUCCCCUGGGCCUGUACUGACGCUCAUGCACGAAAGCGUGGGGAGCAAACA
This 424-nucleotide ribosomal RNA is filed under the name uncultured Variovorax sp. RNAcentral describes it as "bacterial SSU rRNA". It matches the Rfam family "Bacterial small subunit ribosomal RNA", at positions 358 to 774 of the family's 1533-position model. The record is from RNAcentral. Lineage: Bacteria; Pseudomonadati; Pseudomonadota; Betaproteobacteria; Burkholderiales; Comamonadaceae.